This 973-nucleotide long non-coding RNA is filed under the name Brassica napus (rape). RNAcentral's name for it is "long non-coding RNA (BNAP_LNC019675)". The record is from RNAcentral. Lineage: Eukaryota; Viridiplantae; Streptophyta; Magnoliopsida; Brassicales; Brassicaceae.
UUAGAUCUAUUUUUUAAAAAUAUCGCAUAUGGAUCAGUGUUAUAGCUUAUGUUCUAAUAUAUAAGAUAAAAAAAAAUUACUUUCAAAGACACGUUAUGUCUUUAUAUUUACUAAUUUAGACACUUUAUGCUUGUCACACCCUUUCUAUGUGGUGAAUGUAGAAUGUAUCCUUCAAUGUUUUCCCUCGUUACUUCAUGUGUCUAAAGACAUGAUUUUCUUUCUUUUCUCUUUCUUUUCUCUUCUAGAUCCACUUGCAUCCCCACCAAAUAAAAAAAUUACAAAACUUUACUUUUCCGAUGAUUUAUUUCUCUCUUUUGAUUAUGAUGUUCUCUUUCAGUUAUUUUGAACAACUUUAUUAAACUCAUGAUCUUAAUUUGAGUGAAACAUACGAUUCUCUAUGGCGCUGUUUUGCUUAUCCACACGACGCCUCACCUAAUCGAAACAAAACACAUGACUCCGAGACUGUUCCGGCGGAAUGGCCUCUCUAAAACGUCCCUUCGCGUCGCCGUGGUCCAGCUCCUCUUUGAUCGCCGGUGAGACAGCCAUGGAUUCCGAGCUCGAAAUCUUAGUGGAAGGCCGCCGGUAACAGUCAAGUGUGGUCUCAUCCAGAAAGCACGUUCCAAGCUUUCCCCGUCUGAUCUCCAAGCAUCUCUGCUCUUGAACAACUCAAGAACUUUGCAGCGGACAUUAACAUCUCUUUCUUUCUCUAUCUCUUAUCUGAGUUUUUAUUUUGAAAUUCGAUUUAUUUUGAGAAGUUUAUGUUAUCUUUAUCUUCUAGAUAUUUAAAGUUUGAAUCUUUUGUGGAUCAAUUUCAAUUUUCAAUGCUAUUGGUCUUGUGGUUUGUGUUGGAUUGAAAAACUUGGUAGAGAUACAGAAAGUGUUUUAAGUGUUUGAAGAGAAAGAAACUUUGCGAAGAACAAAGAUUUUAUAACUUAGAAAAGAUUUUAUUACUUGUUACAAACUUGGUUUUUUU